Dunckerocampus dactyliophorus (ringed pipefish) is the source of this 1262-nucleotide long non-coding RNA. RefSeq lists it as uncharacterized. The transcript is spliced from 3 exons. Lineage: Eukaryota; Metazoa; Chordata; Actinopteri; Syngnathiformes; Syngnathidae. The record is from RefSeq and is a predicted model, not a curated record.
GGAAGACGGGAGCGAAACAAACUUUUUGGCACGGUUUGGAAAAAAACGGAUGCGGAGCUACCCCAGUGGAGCGGAGAAGAGGAGAAGGCGAGAGAGGAAUAGUUUGUUUUUUUAAUCAAAACUAGACAGCCAGACGCUCUUGAUAGUAGCACAGCCGAGAAGAAUGCAGUAGUUUCAGGGAUGGAGCUGAGAGUGACGCUUUUCAUCACAAACCCUACAUGGAUGUGGAGGGAUGUGGUUUGCCUUGGGCCCCCAAAGGACUAAAUCCACUCCUGAAUGCAGAAAUACUUGCCACCUGGAAGACCAGGUGGUCCAGCGAUACUUCACAGAGAAGGCGGGGCUCAGGGCUUCUACCAGCACGUUUGACAGCUGCAAAAUCCAUAGGCUACGGGAUUCAGAACUCUACGAGGGCAGACGAACCGCCGUGCAAUGCAGAUUAGAAAGCUGCUAAAACCCCUCCACAACACAACCCAACACCUGACCAGCAACAGAACCACAAAGACGGGGCUUGAACACACCUCUCCCUCCUGGCGAAACACACAUGGGUGUGCAUGGCACAGGGGCCAUCAUGAACAUGGCUCAUUGCAGAAAUAAACAAAAACCCAGCAAAAGUGGAAAAAUAGAACAAGAGAUGCCAUGUAAUGUAACUAGAAAAACCUAAAAUGUUGAUACUAAUAAAACACAAUGUUUUCUCUUCAAAUAUAUGUAUAAUGUUUUUUUUUUAUUACAAAUAUCAAUGGACAGCUGGGCAGCCCUGACGUAAAAAGACAAAGACAAGUAGAUGAAACAAAACCAGUGAGCUGGCAUUGUUCAACUACAACAAGCUGGAACAAUUAACUCUGCACUUCAGCCAAUAAGGAACUUACAUAUACUACCUGCCACUUAUGUGUAUUUUUUUUUGAUGCAGCUGAUUGGUUUCACCUCACAAGCAUUGACCAAUGCCAUUACAAAUAACUUGAGAGACCAACCUGAGCAUCAGAUAAACAUUGUAAUAUAGUUAGUAAUACUGAAGAAAAGCAUUAUAUUUGUCAAUACCCUUGACUUUGAUGAAGAGUAGCUCACAUUUUACGACAAAUUUAUUCAGAGAGUCAUGGAAUUUCAAAAGGUUUUCAUACUUUUCUAGACACUUUAGAUUUUUAUACCUGAUACCCUUCCUGACGCAACCUUGGCCAAGAAUCAAACUCAUGUAUACGAUUAAAGGUCAAAUGUACAAUUGUCAAGUAUAAAAUAAGAAAAGUGUGUUCAUAAAUGUGAUAGGUGAA